Non-coding RNA from Tephrocybe sp. NHM501043, 82 nucleotides. NCBI's taxonomy places the organism in Eukaryota, Fungi, Basidiomycota, Agaricomycetes, Agaricales, Lyophyllaceae. The record is from the annotation of a GenBank genome assembly.
GGCUCUGUAGUGUAGCGGUUAUCACUCUAAGAUUCUGACAUAUCACAUUCUUGAAACCCAGGUUCGAUUCCUGGCAGUGCCU